Molecule: long non-coding RNA, 717 nt
Filed under: Danio rerio (zebrafish)
Lineage: Eukaryota; Metazoa; Chordata; Actinopteri; Cypriniformes; Danionidae
Description: si:ch211-229n1.4 (ENSDARG00000097171.2)
Source: RNAcentral
ACACAUACAAGCUUUCCGGAAAAUUGCCGGCAAUUUUGCGUUAAAGGUCUGUAUGUGUGAAAGGGGGUAGAAUCUCUAUGUAUCUCAGGCCCCGUUUACACUAGUGCGUUUUAGUUUUAAAACGGCGUUUUAGAUCAAAAACGAUCCGCGUCCACACUAGCGUUUCUGAACAUAUCUCCGUCCACACUACGCCACAAAACCGUAUAUCACGUGACCAUUCGCGCACUCUGGGCAUGCACGUAUUUUGUGGACAGACGACGAGGUCGAGUUGUUACUAAACGUAACGAAUAACUGCACAAUGGCGCCUAAAACAGACACUAGUGCAAACAACGCUCCCAUUUCUGUGCCCAUGUUGUUGUUUACAGUGAAGGCUGGUCUGCUGUCUUCCGCUAGCGUUAAAGCCAUGUGUUUUAGUCAUGUGAUAGGGGCUUGAGAAUAAGGGAAGGAUACGCAAUGAUACAAAAGCCUCAAUCAGGUAGCGAAUCUCAGCAGCCCCGCCUCCGUUUCCAGAUGUCUCCCUUUCCCCCAUCCACACUGAGAUGGAGCAGCAGCAUUUCAGAAUGAAAACAGCCUCUCCAGCGUUUCCAAAAUGCUCCGUUUUCAGUGUUCGUAAACUCCGGUGUAGUGUGGACGGAUGGUGUAACCUUAGCCAAACAUAUGCGUUUUAAAACGAAAACACAUUAGUGUAAACGGGGUCUCAGUAUCUCUAUGUGUUUA